This 751-nucleotide ribosomal RNA is filed under the name uncultured beta proteobacterium. RNAcentral describes it as "bacterial SSU rRNA". It matches the Rfam family "Bacterial small subunit ribosomal RNA", at positions 28 to 776 of the family's 1533-position model. The record is from RNAcentral. Lineage: Bacteria; Pseudomonadati; Pseudomonadota; Betaproteobacteria.
AUUGAACGCUGGCGGCAUGCCUUACACAUGCAAGUCGAACGGUAACAGGUCUUCGGAUGCUGACGAGUGGCGAACGGGUGAGUAAUACAUCGGAACGUGCCCGAGAGUGGGGGAUAACGAAGCGAAAGCUUUGCUAAUACCGCAUACGAUCUCAGGAUGAAAGCAGGGGACCGCAAGGCCUUGCGCUCACGGAGCGGCCGAUGGCAGAUUAGGUAGUUGGUGGGAUAAAAGCUUACCAAGCCGACGAUCUGUAGCUGGUCUGAGAGGACGACCAGCCACACUGGGACUGAGACACGGCCCAGACUCCUACGGGAGGCAGCAGUGGGGAAUUUUGGACAAUGGGCGCAAGCCUGAUCCAGCCAUGCCGCGUGCAGGAUGAAGGCCUUCGGGUUGUAAACUGCUUUUGUACGGAACGAAAAGACUCUGGUUAAUACCUGGGAUCCAUGACGGUACCGUAAGAAUAAGCACCGGCUAACUACGUGCCAGCAGCCGCGGUAAUACGUAGGGUGCGAGCGUUAAUCGGAAUUACUGGGCGUAAAGCGUGCGCAGGCGGUUAUGUAAGACAGAUGUGAAAUCCCCGGGCUCAACCUGGGAACUGCAUUUGUGACUGCGUAGCUAGAGUACGGCAGAGGGGGAUGGAAUUCCGCGUGUAGCAGUGAAAUGCGUAGAUAUGCGGAGGAACACCGAUGGCGAAGGCAAUCCCCUGGGCCUGUACUGACACUCAUGCACGAAAGCGUGGGGAGCAAACAGG